This 155-nucleotide unclassified non-coding RNA is filed under the name uncultured Pleosporales. RNAcentral's name for it is "sequence contains ITS2". The record is from RNAcentral. RNAcentral also lists the same sequence under 1 other name. Lineage: Eukaryota; Fungi; Ascomycota; Dothideomycetes; Pleosporales.
GUACCUUCAAGCUCUGCUUGGUGUUGGGCGUUUUGUCCCUGCCUCUGUGCGGACUCGCCUAGAAUUGAUUGGCAGCCGGCAAUCUGGUGUUGGAGCGCAGCACAAUUUGCGCUUUUGCCCACGAUUACCGGCGUCCAGUAAGCCUGCAUUUUAAC